UGUCGGGCGUCAAUGGCCGAAACUCUGUUUGCAAAAGAGCGGCUCGUCGAACUGACACAGCUGGUGUCCAAUCAGACCCUGCAUAAAAAUCCAGCGCCCCUCAUCUCGCCAAUUAGAAGUGCGAUGAAGCAGGCUGAAGGAGAAAGAGGGGGGCAGUGAAAAGCUUAUUUACAAAGUAUCCUUGAAGAGUAAAGAUGUAGCCCUGCUUUUAAAAAUGCGGAGAAAGACAGACGAUUCGCCGUCCUUAGACCGUCGCUCUCGCCCUCGUCCCCUCCUUCAGGCAGAGCACCCGAAACAAAUGCAUUUCGCGGAAUCGUUUUUACAGAGAGGAGUGAGAGAAGUGCAGUUUGCAUGGGUGUAUGCAGGAUUGAGGAAAUCCAAGAAUGUGUGUCCAGGUUAAAGAGAGAUCCCAGGGAUGCACUCCAGAAGUGGCAUCUUUGCCAUCCUGGGAGAUAUGCAUUUACUGGCUGCUUUCCUUUGGCUCUCAUUUAUACUCUUUUAAGGAACUUCACAGAUUUUCCAAGGAAUACGAAGAAGGUCUGAUGAGGGAAUUUGAAUUUGAAAAAGGAUUUCUGAUUUGGGGAUUCAAGAAGGACCCAACAGACUUUGAAUGGAGUUUCUGGAAUGAAAGGGCUAGGAAAUCACUGCUUUGGUCUCUUCUGGGUCACGUGCUUGUCUCCAAGCUGGCUGGUUUCUUUGCUCCCAAGUGCAGGGCGGCUGUGCUCACGCUCUAUGGCCUGCUGGCCGCUUGGUGUCUCCUGGGCGGGAGAGGUCUGGCCGUGGUUGCGCUGCACAUGUGUGUGUCGUUCGGUGUGGCCCUGCUGAAGAGGCCCUGUCUCUGCUGGCUGUGCUCCCUGCUGCUGCUCUCGACCUUGCUCUUCGGCUCCCUGGAGGACAUGCAGAGGAGCUGGUAUAGGACAGAGAAUGAGUACUAUCUGCUGGUCUUCAGCCUGGCCAUCUCCUGUCUGCGUUACAUCAGCUUCAGCCUGGACUACUGCUGGCAGGCCUCAGAGGAGAAGAGCCUGGACUCCUUCUUCUGGCUGUCUGCCUAUGUCUUCUACCACCCCUUGUUUAGCAACGGACCCAUCAUGAAUUUUGGAGAGUUCACUCGACAGAUGCAGAAGCCACAUUCAAGAGUUGUCAGACUGGACACCUGGGCUGUGCUUGUGAGCCUCGCACGGCUGGUCGCCUGGUGGAUUCUAGCAGAGGCUAUGGUUUGCUUCAUGUACAUGCACGCUGUGCAAAGCAAUGAGACCUACUUGAAGAUCAUGCCAUCUUGGGCUUUAGGUGGCCUUGCCUUGGCCCAGGUGCUGUUCUUCUAUGUCAAGUAUCUGGUGCUGUUUGGGGUUCCUUCGCUCGUUGUUCGGCUGGAUGGCAUUGAGUCCCCGAAGCUGCCUCGGUGUGUCAGCACCAUGUACAGCUUCACUGGGAUGUGGAGGCACUUUGAUGUGGGACUGUACCGUUGGCUUGUCAGGUACAUCUAUGUCCCCCUAGGAGGGUCACACCACGGUGUUGUGCAGAAGACAGUGUCCACCGCCCUGGUCUUCGGGUUUGUUUGCUACUGGCAUGGUGGCCAUGACUACCUGGUGAUCUGGGCCCUCUUAAACUGGAUGGGAGUCAUAACGGAAAACGGAGUGAAGGCAUUCCUGUCCUUGCCCCCUGUUUAUACAUUUUUUGAGCAGUGCUUGUCGGCAGCGAUGAUGCGAAGAGGUCAAGCGUUCCUGUCGGCUUUCUGCACAGCCAUGCUCAUACUGUCCAACCUCGUUUUCCUUGGAGGAAGUCAUGUGGGGAAGAUACUCUGGCUCAGGAUUUUUGUCCAAGGUUGGCCUAAUGUAGCCGUUCCAGUCCUGGGGUUUCUGUAUUGCUUCACCCAGAUAGGAAUGGAGUGGGACAAGACACAUCAGUAACAUGAGCCGCAAAUAUGUCUGUCAAUUUUAUGUUUUAAUACAAAAUUGUUUUUUUUUUUAUAUCAACAAAGUCAGCAAACAGUACCGAAUACUGAAUAUCAAUAGUGAUUAUCCACUUUGCAAAUGUUGUACAUAUUCAUGUUUUAUGCACUGCACAGUUAAUUUGAUAUGACUGAAAGUGAAAAGAAAUAAAAGAAAAGUUACAAUAACCAAUAAAAAGAGUAAUUGAAUUAUUUGAAAACACAAACAUCCAUGGACAUACAUUUCAAUCACAAUCUUCUUCUUUGUAACCUUAUGCCCCAGGUCAGAUGUCCACAAAAGGCUUUAGUGAGAAAGAAGGUUAAGAGAAAGAUCCCAGGUGUCAAGUGAGACAAGUACAGAUGACAGAACAUGAAAAAGACCCUGUGGGACAGGUGACCACUCUGACAGGUGAGCACUAUCUGCCAACACCUGGCCUCCUAGAGCUACUCUCCAUUUGGGGUACAGAGUGAGACAGUACCGAUCUUUCUGAUGGAAUGAUAUAUGACGGUAAUAAUAGAUCUGAUACCAAAUGCUGCAAAAACAAGCAGGAGAAGGAGUGGGGAAAAAUCAAUGUUUUUAAUUUCAGUUUGGUCCAGACAUUAUUUUUGUGGAGCCUGCUGUUAUUGCAUUCGGCAUGUGGUGAUUUGUUUUGUGUCAUUUCGGAAUUAUUUACACCUGCGUACUGUAGGAUGGCUACAGACUGACUUACCUAAACGCUUUGCAGCUUCUCACUCGGCUCACAUAUCUGUUUCAUAAUUCUAAAAGGCUAAGAGCACCUGUGUGGCACUAAUCAGAUUAGAGAGCAGGUCAAAGAAAAAUCCCCUUUAAUUACUAUGGCUCCAAGCAAACUUACUUAUUCAAGCUGCUAAACACUGAGAGAAAAUAUGUUUUUCUCUCUACUGCAUGACCGUUUAAAUCGCUUUAACUCAAUUAGCCUUUUAUUGACAAUUUGUACCUUAAUAAUUUAUGCAAAAAUAACACUUGACAGAUGUAAUAUUAUGAUUUCUAAUGUUGUUCAUCAAUUAUUAUACAGCAGAUGCUUUCUAGAUUAUAAUAGAUUAUAAUAAAGGUGUAUAAAAAGUGUGGGUUUAUGAUUAUGAUGUAGGCAACAUAUGUAAAACCAUUCCAGCCGUCAGUGUUGAUUAAUUUACCCCUUGAUAAGGUCUUACUAGCUUUGUAUUGUGUAGCACUGCCCAGAGCUGGACAGCCAUUGGGUUCUAUUUAAAUUAUCCACAUGUGUUCAGAAGCAUUUCCCAAUAAACGUUCUUGUCCGCUUUGCUUUUUAGAGUAUUUACCAGAUUGUCGUACAGGUUCAAUAAUGUUAGUGUUUCUUUUCGCGGUAUUUAAAUAGUUUUAAACUUGACUUGUGGGUUACACAAAUUUUUGAGACACUUGGCAACUGCAGAGGGAAGAUUCUCAGGGGUACCCCAGCCCACUGCACUGAUUAGUUUUCAGGUUCAUUUAGAUUACACUGAGGUUACAGCAGGAAAAGAGAAAAUUCCUCAACAUUACAAUCAGGAAAGUUGGUGCUGGUGUCAUCUUAACAUUGUCUUGUUUAUUCCCCCAGUGACUUGCAACUACCAACUGUGUAACUCUGCUGGUAAUGAAUGUAUUAUCUGCUGUCCCUUUGAAAUUAAUUACGGUGAAUGUGAAGAGCAUGUACUGUAGGGAGUAAUGAAGUUCUAUUCAACUGUGCAGUUUAGAUUUAAAGACGGGUUCAAAUUAAAAUACACCAUUGCUUCUGCAAAAUGAGAUUGGUGAGGAUAUGAAAUAUAGUUACUUUUAAAUGUAAUUUAAACAAACAAAAGACCACAGAAGUUGGAUGGAUUAUCACAUUCCUGGAAGUGCCUGUAGGGAUAUUUCUAAUGAAAGUUAUUCUUUGGUUUAGUAUCAUGAUCUUCCGCAUGCUUGCAAAAUGUAAUUUUCUACGUAAUUUCUAUCCAUGAUUUCUACGGUUAACGAACAGAUGAGGGACGUGUGCUGGCACAGUGGCAAGACAGCCUAUGGAUUUAAAUCAGGCUCCAUAAUAAUAAAUGCUUUGUAAUAGACUAGCAUCCCACUUUAGGCAUCUGUGCCUGCUCACACUCCCAAGCAAUUACAGGUGAACUGAUCAUAAAACAAGGGUUAUAUAAGCUUGAACCCUUUAAGUUACUAUCUGAAGCCUCAUACUCCAGACUUGCAGUACAAAGACUAAGAUAGACUUAGAUAGAGCUGAAGUGGGAAUAUUGCAGUAUAUACUGCAGUCUGUAUACAUAUGUCUAUGUGUGCUCAUUUUAAAUUGAAAAUGAUAGUGUUGCAAUUAAAAUGUAGGAAUCAGAAUAGUUCAGUUCACUGUGUUUCACUGCAAUGUUUUUAUUUGUCUUAUUGUGCGUUUGAGGUAAGUAGUGACCAUUGAGAAGGCAUGCACUGAUGGAGAUCACUCUUUUAUUUUGUAAUUUGUUAAUCAUCUGCGUGUGUUUAUCACAUCAUGCAUGCUAAUAUUGCAUGACCUCUGACUUUACAGUAUUUGUGAAUAUAAUAUGAAUGGAGAUUCAUCUUUUGCAGUUGAGACAUGAAGUCGACAGAUGAAUCAGGCGUUGGGGCCCACACCAUGGUCCACUUCUGCCUUCUGCCUGGCUGCCAACCAGCACAAACCAACCAGGCCCUGAGCGUCAAGAGGUGAGCUGUCGAGAGAACGAUCUACAGCAGGAGUGGAUUAUCCUCAGGCUUUAUGAGACACCGGCCUGGAGAUUUCGAAAAGGUGCUGAGGCGAAGUGCGCGAUUUCCGAGAUUUGAGUAUUCUGAGCAUUUCGGCAAGCUGG
Non-coding RNA from Lepisosteus oculatus (spotted gar), 4729 nucleotides. The record is from RefSeq and is a predicted model, not a curated record. NCBI's taxonomy places the organism in Eukaryota, Metazoa, Chordata, Actinopteri, Semionotiformes, Lepisosteidae.